This is a long non-coding RNA of Bos taurus (domestic cattle), 374 nucleotides long. The record is from Ensembl. Lineage: Eukaryota; Metazoa; Chordata; Mammalia; Artiodactyla; Bovidae.
CUCCAGCCCAGAAGGGGCCUUGACCAGUGCACAGAUCAGGGGAAAGCACAGAGGGGAAGAUCAGCCACAUGUGGGGCUCCCCUGGUGGUACAGUGGUAAAGAAUCCGCCUGCCAGUGCAAGAGAGCCGGGCUUGAUCCCUGGACUGGGAAGAGGAGGAGGCCAUGGCAACCCACUCCAGUAUUCUGGCCUGGAGAAUCCCACGCACAGAGGAGCCUGGCGGGCUACGGUCCAUGGGUCACAGGGAGUUGGACACAACUGAAGCGAGUUAGCACGCUUGCUUGUGGGCACAGCCACAGCUCCCCCCACCGAGCCUUGAGGAGAAUGCUGUCUGUGGUCGCAACUUCAGUCUGGCGCAUGGUGGAUGGUUCUGGGC